GUGUUCACUUCAGCAGCACAUAUUCUAAAAUUCAAAUGAUACAGAGAAGAUUAGCAUGGCCCCUGUGAAACGAUAACACACAAAUUUGUGAAUCGUUCCAUAUGUUU
Molecule: small nuclear RNA, 107 nt
Organism: Equus caballus (horse)
Lineage: Eukaryota; Metazoa; Chordata; Mammalia; Perissodactyla; Equidae
Source: Ensembl